Molecule: ribosomal RNA, 1532 nt
Filed under: Candidatus Tremblayella phenacoccinincola
Lineage: Bacteria; Pseudomonadati; Pseudomonadota; Betaproteobacteria
Description: bacterial SSU rRNA
Rfam family: Bacterial small subunit ribosomal RNA
Source: RNAcentral
AGAGUUUGAUCAUGGCUCAGAUUGAACGCUUGCGAUAUGCCUAACACAUGCAAGUUGAACGGCAGCGGAUAAAAGAAGUUGCUUCUUUGCCGGCGAGUGGCGAACGGGUGAGUAAUACAUUGGAACAUGGCCUAAAGUGGGGGAGAAAUAACUACUGGAAAAGGUAGCUAAUACCGCAUAAUGUCGUUAGACAAAAGUGGGGAACCUUCGGGACCUCACGCUUCAGGAGUGGUCAAUGUCUGAUUAGCUAGUUGGUGGUGUAAAUGACCACCAAGGCGACGAUCAGUAGCUGGUCUGAGAGGAUGGUCAGCCACACUGGAACUGAGACACGGUCCAGACUUCUACGGAAGGCAGCAGUGGGGAAUCUUGGACAAUGGGGGCAACCCUGAUCCAGCAAUAUCGCGUGUGUGAUGAAGGCCUCCGGGUUGUAAAGCACUUUUGUUCGGGAAGAAAGACUACCUAACCAACAAUUAAGUAGCAUGACGGUACCGAAAGAAUAAGCACSGGCUAACUACGUGCCAGCAGCCGCGGUAAUACGUAGGGUGCGAGGUGUUAAUCGGAAUCACUGGGCGUAAAGAGUACGUAGGUUGUUUGUUAAGACUGCUGGUGAAAUCCCUAGACUCAAUCUAGGAACUGCUGUGGUGACUAAUAAACUCGAGUAUGGAAGAGGGGGAUAGAAUUCCAGGAGUAGCGGUGAUAUGCGUAGAUAUCUGGAGGAAUACCAAAGGGCGAASGCAGUCCCCUGGUCCGAUACUGACACUGAGGUACGAAAGCGUGGGGAGCAAACAGGAUUAGAUACCCUGGUAGUSCACGCCCUAAACGAUGUCGAUUAGCCAUUGGAAGGACCCCUUUUCCUUUCAGUGACGUAGCUAACGCGUUAAAUCGACCGCCUGGGAAGUACGAYCGCAAGGUUAAAACUCAAAGGAAUUGACGGGGACCUGAACAAGCGGUGAAUGAUGUGGAUUAAUUCGAUGCUACGCGAAGAAYCUUACCUACCUUUGACAUGGCCAAAGUUCUACCGAGAGGCGGAAGUACUCGUAAGAGAAUUGGCGCACAGGUGCUGCAUGGUUGUCGUCAGUUCGUGUCGUGAGAUGUUGGGUUCAGUCCCGCAACGAACGCAACCCUUAUCUUUAAUUGCUCCUAUUUUAACAGGCACCUUAAAGAAACUGCCAAUGAUAAGUUGGAGGAAGGUGGGGAUCACGUCAAGUCCGCAUGGCCUUUAUAGGUAGGGCUUCACACGUCAUACAAUGGUUAGAACAAAGAGCUGCAAAUUCGUAAGAAGGAGCCAAUCUCACAAACCUAACCUCAGUUCGAAUUGCGCUCUGCAACUCGAGCGCAUGAAGCCGGAAUCGCUAGUAAUCGUGGAUCAGAAUGCCACGGUGAAUACGUUCUUAGGUCUUGUACACACCGCCCGUCACACCAUGGAAGCGAGUCUUACCAGAAAUGGUUAACCUAAUCCAUAUAUCAGGAAACCGGGAAUCCAUAAAGGCAAGGUUCAUAACUGGGGUGAAGUCGUAACAAGGUAGCCGUAG